RNAcentral lists this ribosomal RNA (430 nucleotides) under Hemiselmis andersenii. RNAcentral describes it as "partial Bacterial large subunit ribosomal RNA". It matches the Rfam family "Bacterial large subunit ribosomal RNA", at positions 2472 to 2912 of the family's 2925-position model. The record is from RNAcentral. Lineage: Eukaryota; Cryptophyceae; Cryptomonadales; Hemiselmidaceae.
GGACAACAGGCUUAUAGCUUUUAAAAGUUCAUAUUGACGAAGCUGUUUGGCACCUCUAUGUCGACUCGUCGCAGCCUGAUGCUGAAAAAGGUAUCAAAGGUUUGGCUGUUCGCCAAUUAAAGCGUCACGUGAGUUGGGUUCAGAACGAUGUGAAUCAGUUUGGUCUCUAUCUGCUUUAAUUGUUUAAAAAUUUAGAAGGUUUAUUUUUAGUACGAGAGGACCAAAAUAAAAAAAUCUAUGAUGCAUCGAUUACUUUUUUUUAAGUACGUCGAUUAGUUACAUUUUAAUUUUAUAAUUGCUGAAAGCAUCAAAAGCAAGAAAAUAACUUCGAACCAAAUUUUUUUAUAUAGAUAAACGUGGUAGAUUAACCACGUGCAUAGGCAAAUUGUUGGUUGUAGUAAUACAAAAGCUAAUUUGUACUAAUUUAUUU